CAAACUAGAUGGUCUCAAAACAUACAAGGUGUUGUCGUUGCCAUUAGGGACAUCCGGUAAAGUUGGAAUAGCUCAAAUUGUUUUAACGAACAUUGCACUAGCUAGAUAAAAGAGUUACCAGCUUGAACCUUAUGCAUGCUUCUCAAAACUCACUUCCAGCAACUGCCAUUGGAGAUAGAGACAUCGAGUGUUCUGUAGUAGUAGGUGGUGAUACAAGCAGCUUAGCUCCAAGACCAAUCUCAUUAGGUGGAAUGUAUUUGUUCCUUGCAUAAAUUAGAAUAUUUUCAUCAUCGGCAGAGAUAUUUUCAAAGUCUGGCUCCUGUAGAAUGUUAUGAAGUUGCCUCUGGAGUCUUUCAACAGGUGACAAAUUGCGUUUUCUACGC
This is a long non-coding RNA of Solanum verrucosum, 383 nucleotides long. RefSeq lists it as uncharacterized. The record is from RefSeq and is a predicted model, not a curated record. NCBI's taxonomy places the organism in Eukaryota, Viridiplantae, Streptophyta, Magnoliopsida, Solanales, Solanaceae. The transcript has 2 exons.